GACAAACGCUGGCGGCGUGCAUAACACAUGCAAGUCGAACGAAGCAUUUAAAGUGGAGACUUCGGUCAAAGCUUUUUAUGACUUAGUGGCGGACGGGUGAGUAACACGUGAGUAACCUGCCUCUCAGUGGGGAAUAACACACCGAAAGGUGUGCUAAUACCGCAUAAUGUAGUUUUACCGCAUGAUAGAACUACCAAAGAUUUAUCGCUGAGAGAUGGGCUCGCGUCCAAUUAGCUAGAUGGUGAGGUAACGGCUCACCAUGGCGACGAUCUGUAGCCGAACUGAGAGGUUGAUCGGCCGCGAUUGGGACUGAGACACGGCCCAGACUCCUAC
This 333-nucleotide ribosomal RNA is filed under the name uncultured bacterium. RNAcentral describes it as "bacterial SSU rRNA". It matches the Rfam family "Bacterial small subunit ribosomal RNA", at positions 28 to 342 of the family's 1533-position model. The record is from RNAcentral.